GAGGGUGUAGCUCAGUGAUAGAGCACAUGCUUUGCAUGCACAAGGUACUGGGUUCAAUCCCCAGUACCUCCA
Molecule: transfer RNA, 72 nt
Filed under: Camelus bactrianus (Bactrian camel)
Lineage: Eukaryota; Metazoa; Chordata; Mammalia; Artiodactyla; Camelidae
Also listed under: 2 other names
Rfam family: tRNA
About the family: Transfer RNA (tRNA) molecules are approximately 80 nucleotides in length.
Source: Rfam by way of RNAcentral